This 561-nucleotide small RNA is filed under the name Pan troglodytes (chimpanzee). RNAcentral's name for it is "retained intron". The record is from RNAcentral. Lineage: Eukaryota; Metazoa; Chordata; Mammalia; Primates; Hominidae.
AUAUCAGGUCUUUGGGGAAGCCAGGUUACUGCUGUGGAGAGGAACGAUGGAAGGCUUACCUUGCUCUGUGUGUCUUCAGCUUUGAGGAAGGCGGCAGGAGAAAGUGUGGCCAGUACUGGCCUUUAGAAAAAGACUCUCGGAUCCGAUUUGGCUUCCUCACAGUGACCAAUCUAGGCGUGGAGAACAUGAAUCAUUAUAAGAAAACAACGCUAGAAAUUCACAACACAGAGGAACGGCAGAAACGCCAGGUGACCCACUUCCAGUUCUUGAGCUGGCCAGACUAUGGUGUCCCUUCCUCAGCAGCUUCCCUCAUUGACUUCUUGAGAGUGGUCAGAAACCAGCAGAGUCUGGCUGUGAGCAACAUGGGAGCACGCUCCAAAGGGCAGUGCCCUGAGCCACCCAUUGUGGUCCAUUGCAGUGCAGGCAUUGGCAGGACAGGUACCUUCUGCUCACUGGACAUCUGCCUGGCACAGCUGGAGGAGCUUGGCACCCUUAAUGUGUUCCAGACGGUGUCACGCAUGAGGACCCAGAGGGCCUUCAGCAUCCAGACCCCUGAGCAGU